GUCGCUGCCGGCCGCAGGCCGGGAGAGGAAAGUCCGGGCAACGCAGAGCGCCACGCAGGCUAACGACCUGACAGCCGUGAGGUUGUGGUAGCGUAACAGAAAACGACCGCCCGCAGGAGUCGGUGAAAGUUCCGGAGAUUCUCCCGAAUCGCGGAUUUUCCUGAUGGCUCCGGCGGGUAAGGGUGAAAAGGCGGGGUAAGAGCCCACCGCGGGGGCAGCAAUGUCGCCCGGCAGUACGUCCCGUGGGUUGCAAGACCGUGUAUACCGGCAAUCAAGGGUUGCUCGCCCGAUGCCGGGGGGUAGGUUGCUCGAGACGGCAGGAGACUGCCGCCCUAGAUAAAUGACAGGGACCCGGGGUUCGCCCCGGGGACAGAACCCGGCUUACAGGA
Molecule: RNase P RNA, 389 nt
Filed under: uncultured Alistipes sp.
Lineage: Bacteria; Pseudomonadati; Bacteroidota; Bacteroidia; Bacteroidales; Rikenellaceae
Description: Bacterial RNase P class A
Rfam family: Bacterial RNase P class A
About the family: Ribonuclease P (RNase P) is a ubiquitous endoribonuclease, found in archaea, bacteria and eukarya as well as chloroplasts and mitochondria. Its best characterised activity is the generation of mature 5'-ends of tRNAs by cleaving the 5'-leader elements of precursor-tRNAs. Cellular RNase Ps are ribonucleoproteins.
Source: RNAcentral